GGAAAGCAGAACUGCCUGACUCAACAACCCAUGGAGAUAUGAGAAGUGAUGAGUUGUCAUUGUCGUCUUAAGCCACAAGGUUGUGGGGUGGCUUGUUCCCCAGCACUGGAAAACAAAACCUGCUGAGACUUGAUUUCCUGGACGUUGGCCCAGCCAUGGGAAGAAGUGAAAGGCAUUUGUGACAUGGAGGCAUGAGAUGGCCACGUCCAGAUCAGCGCAGCUGAAGGUAAGCAGGCCUCUCCAAGAUUUCCCCGAUCAAUAAUGCAGUGAGAAGACUGAUGAGACUCCACAGUGUGAUUUAUCACAGAGCACAACAGGGUCAGCAAAGAAGAAAGGCACAUGAGGCAAAGUCUGCAGAACACUUCAUGAGAAUCCUCUCCUCACACAUGCAAUUCCUGCAGCAGUGGGAUGCAGCAGUCCCAUGAAACCCUGCUCAUCAAGGCUCACUGCAUUAAGCAUCCCAAGACUUCUAGUAGAGACUGUGAGAGAGGUUUUUAUAUGUCCACUUGGCUAGAAUAUUAUGCUCAGAUAUUCUGUCAAGCACUCAUAGAAAUGUGAUGUGAGUGUUUUCUUCAAAGAUGGGAUUAACAUUAAAAACUGCAGUCUUGGAGUAAAGCAGAUUACAUACAAGGCCUUCAUAGGAAUGGCUGAGGUUUCCCUAAAAAGAAGAGGGGGAGACUAACCCAAGACUGUAACAUAUAGAAAGCUGCCUCAGUGUUUAGCCUGUUGCUCUGCAGAUUUGGAGUCAAUACUGCAAAAUACACUGAAUUGACAGCCUUCUAACCUGAAGGUUUUGACUUUACUGAUCACUUAAAUAUUCCCAAUAUUCCUCAAUCUCUCUCUCUCUCUCUCUCUCUCUCUCUCUCUCUCUCUCUCUCUGUGUUUCUCUCUCAGUGUGUGUGUGUGUGUGUGUGUGUGUGUGUGUGUGUGUGUGUGUGUAUUUGGAGUUCAGGCCCCUGUUCCUGGGUUACAUGUGAGAGGGCCAAAAGCAGGGGAGGGCUGGAUCUGGAUCUGUCUAGGAGGUGGCACCACUGUCUGGAACCCCGUUGUUCCUACACACCUAGGCUCCUCGGCUCCCUUCCUUCCUAACAUCAUCUAUACAAGGCUUGAACAUUUGAGGAUGUCAGUGUGACUCAAGGACAUACCUAAAACCAUAGAGCUGGACGGGGUUCAGUGGGCUCCCUAGACAAAAUGUGGUUCAAGAGCUAGCUACUUAAUGCAUGUCCUAGAAGAGUCAGAAAGGCAGAAAAGGUAGACUCUCAGACCCUAACCUAUCCCAGGAUCUACAAAAUUGGAAUAAAGAUUUUAACAAGAUCUCCAGACAACCCAAAAUGUUAAAGUUUGAGAAGCACUGUCAUAUUCCCCAGUUUAAAAUUUUAUUGUCUGUUGGGUGUGGCAGCCCACACCUGUAAUCCAGUAUUUGGAAGGCAAAGUCAAGAUGGUUACCACAAAUUCAAGUCCACUCUGACCUACAUAGCAAGUCUCAGGUCAGCCAGGGUUACAUAAAGACGCUCUGUGUCAAAAAAGGAUAGGCAGAAAAUUGAUUGACAUAAAAUAAAACUAAACCAUUAGAAGGGAGAAAUUGAACUAAGGAAAAGAUAUUUGGUCAGGAAAAGAGAAAGGAGAACUUAUUGUAUUUUUUUAUUUUAUGAUUCUAAAAUAUAAGGAAAAACAGAAAGUAAGAUCUGCCAUCUAGUUUUGCAAUAGUUGAAUUUUUCUGGAGUUUUCUCAAAUCACUGAGGUGAUCCCUCCUCAAUCCUGUUCCCCAGAUGCCCUCUUCCUCAAAUGUGUUAUUCAGUACCCCUGUGCACAUACAGCUACCAAUACAAGUACAUCCUAAAUACUUGAUGGUGUUUUGAACUUCCAUGUGAAUAGUAUACUUUCUGUGGCUUCAACCUCCUGCUCCUACUCAAUGAUAAUUGUUUUCAAGUUUAUUCACAUGAAUACAGGACGCUCUUGCUCAUUCAUUUCACCUGGAUUAAGUGUUCCUUUUGGAAAAUAUUUAUCUGUCCUCCUGUUGUAGCAUUUGGAUUUUUUUUUCUUUUGCAAGCUUUUUUGGAUCACAUACACAGAGCUGCCAUGGCUGAUGCUACUGUUGGAUGGGUCAGUAUAUGGAUGUUACAGGGACUUCCAACAUUCUUACCUGUAUCACUGGAAGGAGCUUUUCCUCUAACAGAAAUCGUGGGUUGCAUUUCAGUUGUAGAAGCUGCAGUUAUCCCGGGGAGUAUAAGAUGCUCUGGCUUCUGACUUGGGGGAUUCGUGUCUUAGGGGAGCAAAUGUGGCCAGCUUUGGCAAGAAAGCAGUCCCUGAGGAUGUCUGUACAGCCAAACUGGAUCAGAGUCCCACAGAGACCUUGCUGAAAAUCAUUGGCUCUGUCUGUCUUGUUCUUUAGGUCUGUGACUAGAAACAGUGGUCAUUUCUAAGUUUGGUGGUUGUCACUCAGUGACACUGACACAUUGAGGUAGGAAAACCACUGUUUAGAGAGCAGAAGUAGAUUGGGUACACGGAAUCAGGACCAAUCAUACUUGGAGUCUUCUGGGUAACCAUCAUCUGGCAGAGAUUUAGUCUCCCAAAUUCCGUGGUUUCCCUGAUGGGAUCUCUUGGCUCUCUUGAAUGACUGGUUUUAACUGGAAUGCUGACAGAGCCAGAAGGCUUGAGGAAUCUCAUCCUCAUGUGUGUAAGUUGGUAGUGAUUGUUCCUAGUCAUUUUGAUCACCCUGCGUGUGGCCUAUCACUCUUCAAAAUGCUAACCCAAUCUCUUUAUCUCUCUCUCUCUCUCUCUCUCUCUCUCUCUCUCUCUCUCUCUCUCUCUCUCUCUCUCUCUCUCUCCCUGUCCUGUAACUAGCUCUUGUAGACCAGGCUGGCAGGCUGGUCUCAAACUCAUAGAGACUGCCUCUGCCUGCAGAGUGUUGGAAUUAAAGCCACCACUUCCCGGCUCUAACCCAACUUCUUUACUCGGUGGUCUUAAGGCAAGAUUCCAAGGGAAAGAAGCCAUGCUAUUAGAAUGCCAGAGGGUGGGUCCCAGUUUCUUGUAACAUCACUUCCACUGAAUUGUCUUGGCUAACACAGGGUACAAGAGUUACCUGGGGCUAAGAAGAAGAUAACCGGACAACUCCUCAAAGUUUGGGAGGAACAGCAAAGAAACAAUUGCAAAGGAGCAAGGACUGAAAUCUUUCGGCCCUCUUUUUAAAAUUUAAAUUGAGGUUAACAUGCAAGGUAACGGGUUUUGUCAUGACAUCCUUCUAUACAUGUGUCAUUGUCCUUUGUUCUCACUUGUUCUCCCUCUGCCACUCCACUACAGCUGGUUCACUUUCUUCUCCUAAUUCAUCACACCUUAUGCUUCCUAAUCAUUUAUAUUCAAUUGCCCUCUCUAUUUUCACCCUCCUUUAAUGAACCCUGUCAUGGUUUGAAUGAGAAUGGCUCCCGUAGGCUCAUAUACUUGAAUAUAAAAGGAUCCCUGAGGUGUGUAUGUGGAUUUACCUUCCUUUGGGGCUAUAUACCCAUGGUUGGGUGAUGUGGUAGUUCUAUUUUCAGUUUUUGAGAAACCUCUAUACUAGUUUUCAGUGCAUUCAGCCAUCUUUGAAAACAAGUUUUUACUUUUGAAUGGUUUGGGCAGAGAUGGAAUUUUACCAAUCACCAUAGAGAUUUUAGCUACAUUUUUCUGUGCCAUUACUAAAACUGACCAGGAUAUCAUUACUAUCAGGGAUGGUACUUUUAUAAUUACACCAAGGGAUGGACUUUUAAAUUAUUGACCAUGAUUACUUCUUCCCUUAAUCUGAAAGUUAUUUUUAAAAAAUUUACCUUCACCAGCUGGAAGUGGUGCAUGCCUUUAAUCCCAGCACUCAGGAGGGAGACACAGGCAGACCUCUGUGAGUUCAAGGCCAGCCUGGUCUACAGAAAGAGCUCCAGGACAGCCAGGGUUACAGAGAGAAACCCUGUUUCAAAAACAAAAAUCAAGAAUCAAAACCAAAAAACCCUACCUUCAACUUAUAUAAAUUCUGAGAGAUGGCUCAGAGGAUAAGAGCAUUGACUGCUCUUCCAAGGGUCCUGAGUUCAGUUCCCAGCAAACACAUGGUGGCUCACAAUAAGCACUGCGUUCAUACGAUGCAUUGUGCUGUGUCAAAGACACAGCAGUGUGUGUGUGUGUGUGUGUGUGUGUGUGUGUGUGUGAUGCAUUGUGCUGUGUCAUUUUACAGCAGUGAACAGAGGCAUGAUGCCUGCUCAGUUGGUAGUUUAUUCCAUGAAGGAAAGGGAGUAUUAAACAGAUCCCAUUACGAGGUGUUAAGUACUGUAGGAGAAGGGAGGCAUGAGCAGAGAAAACCCAAGACAGGGCUCUGACUUGAAGUUGAUGCAAGAAACACUGAUAUGAGCUAAAUUUUGAGGAACAAGUACAUAUUAUGCAAGCUGAAGGAAUGGAGGGUGGGAAGUAGUAUUUAAGGCAGAAGAAACAUUGUGUACUGAGAGAAUUAAGAAGCCCGAAUGUUUUCAGGCUGAGACAUAAGAGGCAUAAAAGGAAAAAAAUGACUACUACAUGAGACUAGAGAAUUGGCAAAUUAAAAAGAAAGAAAAAAAGAAAGAAAGAAAGAAAGAAAGAAAGAAAGAAAGAAAGUCCCACAGAGCCCUGUAAAGGAGUCUGUCUUUCUCUGAGAGCAACACAAAUGUGUAGGUAUAUGCUAUAGCUAAACUAUGUUCCCUCAAAAUCCUUACAUUGAAAUCCUAAUCCCCAAAGUGACUAUAUCUGAGGGUUACUAUGCUGUGAUGAAACACCAUGACAAAAACCAGCUUGAGGAGGAAAGGGCUUAUUUCACUCACAGUUCCAUAUAACAGCCAUCAUUAAAAGCAGCCAAGACACGGACCUGGAGGCAGGAGCUGAUGCAGAGGCCAUGGAAGGCUGUUGCUUACUAGCUUGCUCCUCAUGUCUUGCUCAACCUGUUUUCUUAUAGAACCCAGGACCAGCAACCCAGGGGUGGCAUCACCCACAGUAGGUUUGGUCCUCCCCCACCAAUCACUAAUUAAGAAAAUGGUCUGCAGGCUUGAUCUUAUGGGGGCAUUUUCUCAACUGAAGUCCCUCCUUUCAAAUGACUCUAGCUUGUGUCAGAUUGUCACAAAACUCACCAGGACAGGGACCUUAUGAAGGAACUCAAAUGAGGUCAUAGGGUGGGGCCCUAGAUCAGAAUGUCUGGUGUUAUUAACAGGAAAGGAUACAUACUGAGGUACAUAUACAGUACAUGAGGGCAUGGAUAGAAAGUCCAUAUGUGGCUGCAGAGAGAAGGCCGCUGACUGCAAGAAUGAGGCCAACCCCAACAGCACCUUGGGUUUGAACUUGCAGCCUCCAGGGCUUUGAGAAAAAUUAAUUUCUGUUGUUUAAGCUAUUUGGUUUGUGUGUUUAGGCCCAGUUGCCUUGGGAGACUAAUACAGCAUGUGAAAUGCUGAGAUUUAUGCUCCUAAUAAACUAUUUUUUAUCUCAUGAGGAGUGGGCCCAAGGAACAUUGCGACCCAAGGAAGAAGGCUGUAAGAGAGAUUUGUACAUCUAGUGAGUAUGAUUUGCAGCUAGCUGGCAGCCAUGAGGGAUCCUUAGAGAUGGGGUAGGUACCAUCUCUAGGAGGCAGAGCCAUGGAAAAAAAGACAGACAUUGAGGCCUGAUGGAUGAGAAGGGCCAGGGAAAGGGGAAAUGGAGACAAGCCCGUACUAAUACACUUAAGGUCUGGCUGGAAAGAAACAAUAGUAAUAGACAGAAGGGAAGUAGAGAAGUUGGUUUUCUUAUAAGAUGAAUGAGAUGUAAGUAUUUUACAGGCUGAUAGAAAGGGUCAUUAAACAGAAGGCAGAGGGAGGGGAUGGAGACAAACAGAUACAAACCACGGGUCCUUCCUGAGGGAGGGAACAAAUGAAUGAAAACAAUGCUGACAUGAGAGCCAAAUGGAUGAAAAGCCAUUUCCUUUACACUCCCAUUUAAAGGCUGUGGCUCAGCUGUCAUCCAUCUUGCUUGCACCCUCCUGCCAACUGAAUAUACUCAGAAAGUAGCUGGGGCUUUGUCUCCUUCAGCCCUGCUUCAGAGCCUCCCUCCUUCCAGCCAUGGACAUGAGCUGAGAGAAAGGGACAGUGGGCCUUCUGGUCUACCUUGGGCCCUCUGUCACUCCAACUCAGUCCCAGAUAUGCCUCUUCUGUCCUAUCAGGUCUGGCUGCUGGAUCUGCUUGGCUUCAGCCCUUGAUGUCUUCUCUGAUAGGGCUCAGUCCAUGAUGGGUAGCUCCAGCUGCAUGGUCACUUUGUCUCCCAGGCACAAAUACUCUGCUUAUCUUCAGGCCCAGAUACAUGCCAGGAAUCAACUUUCAAAGGAUCUUCAUUCUCUGCUGCAGAGGGCAUACCCCCAGCUCGAUGGCAAAGCUCUCCAUAUGCAUCCUUCCCCAUCACCAUAAGAUCUCCUGAGCCAUAUGACUCAAGUGGCAGAAGUGUCUCAGGCCCCAGCCACAUCCUGUUGUGGAGGCUUCCCAGGCCUAGUAUAGGCCCAGAACAGCUCAGUCAGCCAUGCUCACCCUCCCGCUAACACAUGACCCCUGAUGUCAGCAGCCACCAGAAAGAGAAGAGCAUACGCUUUUAACAUCCGCCCCAUGUGUUGAGGGAUUAUAAGCUUAAUAAACAUUUUCUCAUCCCAUCCCUAUAACAUUCUCUAAAAGUUAGACUUAUGCUUUGUAUUUGUUUCUUUUCUCAUUGCUGGAUGGAAUACCUUACAGCUACAACUUAGGGGAAGAAGGAUUUCCUUUAGGUGGAACAUGGCUGGGGGAGAGGCAUGGUAGGGGCGAGUACCAUAGGAGUGAACGUGGCAGGGGGGAGCAUGGUAGGGCGAGCAUGGUGGUAUUCACUGUGGCAGGAACAGCUGCUGUUCAGGGAGUGUGAAGCAGCUUACAAGGUGGCUGACCAAAAAAGCAGAAAAGAUGAGGCUGAGCUGCACCUGGGAUAGAACCCUCUAGCUUCUCCUCUGGACAGCCCUGUGUCUUCAGCUAGGCACCAUGUCCAAAAGGCUCCAUAAUGCCCCAACACAAUGCCACCAGCUAAAGACCAAGUGUUCAAACAUGUGAGUUUGUGGGCCACAACAGUAAGCAUAUAUUUGCUCCAGACAGCAGAUCAAGUAGAUGGUUACACUCAAGUCUAUCUUAAUUAACCAGUGUGUGUGUGUGUGUGUGUGUGUGUGUGUGUGUGUGUGUGUGUAUGUGUGUGUGUGUGUCUGUUCUGUCUCUGUCUCUCUCUCACACACACACACACAAACACACGUGCACACACACAUUCACACAUUCUGUCUACAGAUCCUUAACACCCUCAUGGCUACACCUUGACCAAAUAAAUACCUAGGCAUUCCAUGAACACAAACUAAGCAACCACAGCUGCUCCUGCUGAGUGUGAACAGGCUUGUCAAUGUCUGCUUUGGAGAGUCCACUUUCUUGUGUGAUGAGCUGAAUAUUCUAAUACUAAAACUGUGGCUGUGAGCUCAAGACCCCACCCGGAGCUGAGUUACUGGCAGCUAAAGGCUUCUAGGCAAGGAUCUUUCUUUGCAUGUAUGGCCACUGGCAAGUUACCCAUGGUCAUGUGAGUGGCCCCACACCCAUCUACAUUCCUAGAGCACUAAUUAGACUCAGAGGGUUUUUUUAUUUGUUUGCUUGCUUGCUUGCCUGCUUGCUUUGUUUUGUUUUUUAAGGGGAAAAAGUGAGCUAAACACAUCGUUCAUCUCCGCCCCCCCCCCCCUGCUUCCUGACUGUGGAUGCAAUGUAGCCAGCUGCCUCAGGCUUCUCAUGUCUCGACUUCCCAUCUUGAUGGACUGUACCCUCAAGCUGCGAGCCAAAAUAAACCGUUUCUCCCUUUAAAGACUUGCCCACCGUUAUCUAAAAUGUGACUUCAACUGAGGCAUCCUCAUUUUUUAUCUACUAUAGUUCUUGCUAACCUUAGCACUCCUAGCUUCCGGUCUCUGUAAACCGGAGUGACACCAGAGUCAUAGGAUCAGGCAACCUGUGCCAAGAGAGCACUUUACUGCUUUGAGUGGUUUCAGAAAUGCUACCUGCAGCCCAGGCCAGUAAAGAGAGCAGCUGAGAUAAGCGCCUUGCUGGUCCUGAGGGGACACUUCAUUCCAAGCCUGGAUGAGGCAGACAUGUGAGUUAGCCUACAGGGAGGGUGGGAGACGGCACAGAAGGGCAGCCCCCUCGGACCAGCGGACCAGCGCUGAUACUGUCAGUAAACAGGAAACACCGUCCAGCCACAGCUUCCUGCUCGUCUUGCCAGGGUUUGAAGACCUUCGAAGAAGAUUCAGAACAUUUGUUUGGCAACCUCUAGAUGGCUCAGCAGCUCCCUACCCAGUAGUACCUCAGGCUUUGCAGCACCCACUUCAUUCCCCGAGUCAGACCAGAGAAAGAACCCCAGAUCUGAUUGGCAGGACGAGGAGCGUCCCAGCAGGAGUGGGAGGAGCCUUCAGCCUGUUAACUUAGUCCAUCUUGCUGAUCUCUUGGUCACUUCUCCUGCUCUUGCAGUUAAUGUCAACUGGCUGUCCCCAGAGACCUCUCUGUCCUCCAUGGUCCUAUGUACUCUGUGGAGCCUCCCUGUAGGCAGGCUCCAAAAAGCUGGGAAAAAUGAGUAGAUGCACAGGCCAGUUCAGAGGCUCGAGGGAGGUGGGGGGACUGAGACCCUCUUGUUACAGACCCUCACAUGAUAGAAAGAAAGAUACAGCCUUAGCCUGAGGGAGAAACCACCACCAAUGAAAAUGAGGACAUGGCUUUUAUUGUAGAUAUAAGGGAGAGAACAGUCAGAGGCAUCUGGAAGAGCCCAGAUUGAACAUGGCUAGCAGAGUUGAUCAGGUGUGGGGGGGGGCGAGGGGGGGGCGGGAGCUGCAGAGCAAGAAGAUAAGGAGAGGGGCAAAAGCCAAGAGCAAAGGUCAAAGAGAGAGAAGAACCAACAGGACAAGAGAGAGCAUGGCUGGAAUGGCUGAGUUAUAUAGGAAAGAGAUGCUGAGGGAAGGGAAGGGCAGCUGGGGGAUGGGGGGUUUAGGUAGCUGGAGACGUUUGGGGUAGGAAGUGCUGAGAGGAGCCAGGACUCUGUAACAGGUACUUACAAUGCUGAAAGAGCCUGGUGUCAGCUUUGAUAUGUUAAUAGGCCAUUUGUCACUUGGCCAUUUGUCCUGGGUUUCUUUCGGACCUGAUAUCACCUACCUGUCACCAGCUCUGUCCCUACUUGCUGCUUAGAAAACUUCUUUCUUCUUCUUUCUUCUUCUUCUUCUUCUUCUUCUUCUUCUUCUUCUUCUUCUUCUUCUUCUUCUUCUUCUUCUUCUUCUUUGUUUUGUUUUUUGAAACAGGGUAUCUCUGUGCUGGCCUCAAAUUCACAGGGAUCUGCCCUGUGCUGGAAUUAAAGGUGUGUGCCACCACCUUUAAUCAGCUGGAAAGCCGAUUUCUUUUAUUUGUUUGUUUGUUUGUUUGUUUGUUUAUUAUGUAUACAACAUUCUGCUUCCAUGUAUAUCUGCACACCAGAAGAGGGCACCAGAUCUCAUAACAGAUGGUUGUGAGCCACCAUGUGGUUGCUGGGAAUUGAACUCAGGACCUCUGGAGGAGCAGCCAGUGCUCUGAACCUCUGAGCCAUCCCUCCAGCACCCGAAAGCUGAUUUCUUAAUGUGGAGUCUCCUUAUCAUUAUUUACUCUGCCUGCUACUCCAGCCAGUACAGAAAGCAGUGGCCUAUGGAAGGACUUUUGAACUGUGAGUUGAUCUUAGUUAGGGCUCUUCUGGACUGAGGAAACAGAUAUUACAUAGGAUAAGAUAGGAGGAAAAAAAAAAAGGAGCUGCACUUGCUCCCAAGAAAGGGAGAGGCAUGCUUGUUCAUCUCUCAUUCUGGCAUUUCCAUGUGAGUCAGCAUCUUCCUCUGUCAGUCUGCUUCUCUCAUGAACCUGGAGCCAGCGUCACCUCCCAGGAGAAUCCCUCUUGCCUCCUAGAAGUGACCUGAACAGUCCCAGCAGGGUCUGCUUGCAGCCAUAUGCCCAUGCAGAGACUGGGGGCAGUCUGUUGUGAAAUCCCUUCUACAAGUACAUACUUAGGGAGCUGGGAGGAGGGACUGUCACAAAAUAAACAAGGUAUCUUUCCUAGGAGAAUAAAUGUGCUAGGAAGGUAUCGAUAUGGAGUGGCAGUCUUUAUCAAAGACAUUACUGUCACUGUCAUUAACAUCAACAUAAGACAUCUGUGACAUUUUCCCAAUUCUAGUUGCUUUUGGGAUAAACAUCUUGGUAGCUGGGGGCACAGAUUUUGGACCCGGAUGGUCUGAUUCAAAUUUUGCUUCUACCACUAUACUAUGUGAUAUUGGGUAAACUGCUUAACCUCUCAAUGCUUGUCUAUGACAAUUAAAUAAUUCAAUACAUAAGGGGCAUGAAGAAGCAUGCCUGGUGUGGGCCAGGUGCUUCACAGAUGUUACUUAUUUUUUUAUUACCAGUGCUUGGUAACCCCAGUAUAAGAAAUGUCUGGAAAAACAAAACAAACAAACAAUAAAAACCCCACUGCUCUCCAUUUACCCUCACCCCAAUUUCCUUGUGAGAGCUAGUGCCUUCAGGAAUUCAAUAACAACUUGCCAAGUUCUGUGUAAGCCUUGAGUAUUACAGAUGUUGAUAGAUGUGAGUCUUCCCCAGAAGCUCAUUGCCAAGCAAGGAGACGGAUCACCAAAGACAUCAUUUUACUGCUACUUGGCCUGUGCUGUGUGGAAGCUGUAUCCAUCAAGGAUCUCCAGAGGAAGAGACCAGUGGAGUAAAGGCAUAUUAAAAGGAGAUUCCCUGGACUGGCUUGCACGGCACAAGCUAGGAGGUCCAGCUAUGGCUGUCUGCAUUCUGGAGAGUCUGGAAACCCAGUAGCUCCCCCAGUUCAUGAAGCUGAAAACCUCAGCAGUCCCAAUAUGACACUGAAAACCUUGAGGAUCCCUGGAGAGUCCCUGGUCUUUGGUCUACAUUUGAAGGCUGAGAAGGCUGGGUUCUGGUGUCUGCAAAGACAGUGGCAGCUACAGAGUAGAUGCACUCACCAGCAGGGAAUGAAGGGUAUUCUCCUCAGGAAGACGGGAUGCUGGAAUUUCACUAUGGAACUACGCAGGAUCUGGGCUCAACAACAGUUCACAAUUCAGGACUGUGCUAGAACAGAAAUAAGGUUUCAUUCCCAAUUUGCUGGUAGAGAGUCCCUAAAACCUUUGGAACGACUAGAAUGCUGAAUAUUUUUAUAUGGUAAUAAAAUGGUAAGUGCCUGGGGCCCCCAGGCUGGUUUAGAACUUUCAAUCCACUACCCCCAGGAAGGGGACAGAAGAGAUAGCAUUCAAGCAAUAACUUAAUCAGUCAUUCAUACCUAAGGACACCUCUAUAAAAACUCCUGAAUGACAGGAUUUGGAAAUCUUCUGAGUAAAGCCAGGCUGUGGUGGUGCAUGCCUUUAAUCUCAGAGGCAGGUGGAUCUCUGUGAGUUCGAGACCAGCCUGGUCUACAAGAGCUAGUUCCAGGACAGCCUCCAAAAACACAGAGAAACCCUGUCUCUGAAAGAAAAAAAAAAAAGAAAAGAAAGAAGAAAUCUUCUAAGUAAACACAUGGAGGUACUAGAGAAAGUUGGGUGACUUUUCCUGAGAAGACGUCAACAAACAUCUAUUUACCCAGCAAGAGGGCUCAGCAAACAGAGACACUCAUGUGCAGACCUGACCACCCUGGGAAUCUUGUGAAUUUCAGGAGCUUCCAGAGACUUGUUAGUUAUCUACUUCCUGAGCCUUGUAAGUUUUGUUAACUUCGUGAGUCUUAACAAACCUCCCUCCAGGAUGGAGUAUUUCAAACCAGAGGAAACUGUUGCUAUCCAAGAAAGUGAACCAGAGCUGACCUCGAAGCUGCAUUCCUCUCCUCUGACCUUGCACUGUGCAUCUCUUCCAUUGAGUGUUUCUAAGUUGAACUUUUUAUAUUCAGUUGGUAAUCAUAAAUAAAAUGGCUUUCUGAAUACUGUGAAUCAUUCUAGCAAAUUAUUCUGCUUGAAGGGGGAAGCUAUAGGAAUGCCCUAUUCCAAAGUCACGCUGGAUAGAUGUGUAGGUAGCA
RNAcentral lists this long non-coding RNA (12060 nucleotides) under Cricetulus griseus (Chinese hamster). Its description in RNAcentral is "lncRNA (ENSCGRG00015030314.1)". Lineage: Eukaryota; Metazoa; Chordata; Mammalia; Rodentia; Cricetidae. The record is from RNAcentral.